RNAcentral lists this ribosomal RNA (451 nucleotides) under uncultured Enterobacter sp. RNAcentral's name for it is "bacterial SSU rRNA". It matches the Rfam family "Bacterial small subunit ribosomal RNA", at positions 33 to 475 of the family's 1533-position model. Lineage: Bacteria; Pseudomonadati; Pseudomonadota; Gammaproteobacteria; Enterobacterales; Enterobacteriaceae. The record is from RNAcentral.
ACGCUGGCGGCAGGCCUAACACAUGCAAGUCGAACGGUAGCACAGAGAGCUUGCUCUCGGGUGACGAGUGGCGGACGGGUGAGUAAUGUCUGGGAAACUGCCUGAUGGAGGGGGAUAACUACUGGAAACGGUAGCUAAUACCGCAUAACGUCGCAAGACCAAAGAGGGGGACCUUCGGGCCUCUUGCCAUCAGAUGUGCCCAGAUGGGAUUAGCUAGUAGGUGGGGUAACGGCUCACCUAGGCGACGAUCCCUAGCUGGUCUGAGAGGAUGACCAGCCACACUGGAACUGAGACACGGUCCAGACUCCUACGGGAGGCAGCAGUGGGGAAUAUUGCACAAUGGGCGCAAGCCUGAUGCAGCCAUGCCGCGUGUAUGAAGAAGGCCUUCGGGUUGUAAAGUACUUUCAGCGGGGAGGAAGGCGGUGAGGUUAAUAACCUCAUCGAUUGACGU